GACGAACGCUGGCGGCGUGCUUAACACAUGCAAGUCGAACGGAAAGGCCCUGCUUUUGUGGGGUGCUCGAGUGGCGAACGGGUGAGUAACACGUGAGUAACCUGCCCUUGACUUUGGGAUAACUUCAGGAAACUGGGGCUAAUACCGGAUAGGAGCUCCUGCUGCAUGGUGGGGGUUGGAAAGUUUCGGCGGUUGGGGAUGGACUCGCGGCUUAUCAGCUUGUUGGUGGGGUAGUGGCUUACCAAGGCUUUGACGGGUAGCCGGCCUGAGAGGGUGACCGGGCACAAUGGGACUGAGAUACGGCCCAGACUCCUACCGGAGGCAGUGGUGGGGAAUAUUGCACAGUGGGCGGAAGCCUGAUGCAGCAACGCCGCGUGCGGGAUGACGGCCUUCGGGUUGUGAACCGCUUUCGCCUGUGACGAAGCGUGAGUGACGGUAAUGGGUAAAGAAGCACCGGCUAACUACGUG
This 468-nucleotide ribosomal RNA is filed under the name uncultured bacterium. RNAcentral's name for it is "partial 16S ribosomal RNA". It matches the Rfam family "Bacterial small subunit ribosomal RNA", at positions 28 to 507 of the family's 1533-position model. The record is from RNAcentral.